AGUGAACGCUGGCGGUAGGCCUAACACAUGCAAGUCGAACGGCAGCACAGUAAGAGCUCGCUCUUACGGGUGGCGAGUGGCGGACGGGUGAGGAAUACAUCGGAAUCUACUUUUUCGUGGGGGAUAACGUAGGGAAACUUACGCUAAUACCGCAUACGACCUACGGGUGAAAGCAGGGGAUCUUCGGACCUUUCGCGAUUGAAUGAGCCGAUGUCGGAUUAGCUAGUUGGCGGGGUAAAGGCCCACCAAGGCGACGAUCCGUAGCUGGUCUGAGAGGAUGAUCAGCCACACUGGAACUGAGACACGGUCCAGACUCCUACGGGAGGCAGCAGUGGGGAAUAUUGGACAAUGGGCGCAAGCCUGAUCCAGCCAUGCCGCGUGAGUGAAGAAGGCCUUCGGGUUGUAAAGCCCUUUUGUUGGGAAAGAAAAGCAGCAGGUUAAUACCCCGCUGUUCUGACGGUACCCAAAGAAUAAGCACCGGCUAACUUCGUG
RNAcentral lists this ribosomal RNA (492 nucleotides) under uncultured bacterium. RNAcentral's name for it is "partial 16S ribosomal RNA". It matches the Rfam family "Bacterial small subunit ribosomal RNA", at positions 29 to 507 of the family's 1533-position model. The record is from RNAcentral.